GCGUAUUCACCUUUUCUGAGGUGGGCAGCCAUUAUUUUGUGUAAAGUCCGAGACACAAAUGACUUUGAUGAUCGUAUGUGACCACGUUUGUUGACUCGGGAUGUCGGCCAGAAACUCGAAUUGAGUUUGAGUUGCUGGCUCUUGAUGAACGUCCACCGUUGCUAUUCCAAGACGGUGUGAGCAGACGCUGGUGUUAUGAGACGU
Molecule: small nucleolar RNA, 204 nt
Filed under: Saprolegnia diclina VS20
Lineage: Eukaryota; Oomycota; Saprolegniomycetes; Saprolegniales; Saprolegniaceae
Description: Small nucleolar RNA U3
Rfam family: Small nucleolar RNA U3
About the family: Small nucleolar RNAs (snoRNAs) are involved in the processing and modification of rRNA in the nucleolus. There are two main classes of snoRNAs: the box C/D class, and the box H/ACA class. U3 snoRNA is a member of the box C/D class.
Source: Rfam by way of RNAcentral